GGGGAUGUGGCUCAGUGGUAGAGCACUUGCCAAGCAUGUGGGAGCCCCUGGGUUCAAUCCCCAGCACCACA
Molecule: transfer RNA, 71 nt
Filed under: Marmota monax (woodchuck)
Lineage: Eukaryota; Metazoa; Chordata; Mammalia; Rodentia; Sciuridae
Description: tRNA.Ala
Rfam family: tRNA
About the family: Transfer RNA (tRNA) molecules are approximately 80 nucleotides in length. Their secondary structure includes four short double-helical elements and three loops (D, anti-codon, and T loops).
Source: RNAcentral